UACGAAGGGGGCUAGCGUUGCUCGGAAUUACUGGGCGUAAAGCGCGCGUAGGCGGAUUGAUUAGUCAGAGGUGAAAGCCCAGGGCUCAACCCUGGAACUGCCUUUGAUACUGUCAGUCUGGAGCAAGGUAGAGGCGAGUGGAAUUCCGAGUGUAGAGGUGAAAUUCGUAGAUAUUCGGAGGAACACCAGUGGCGAAGGCGACUCGCUGGACCUUUGCUGACGCUGAGGCGCGAAAGCGUGGGGAGCAAACAGG
RNAcentral lists this ribosomal RNA (253 nucleotides) under uncultured bacterium. RNAcentral's name for it is "partial 16S ribosomal RNA". It matches the Rfam family "Bacterial small subunit ribosomal RNA", at positions 524 to 776 of the family's 1533-position model. The record is from RNAcentral.